RNAcentral lists this ribosomal RNA (604 nucleotides) under uncultured bacterium. RNAcentral describes it as "bacterial SSU rRNA". The stretch from base 1 to 520 matches the Rfam family "Bacterial small subunit ribosomal RNA", at positions 338 to 873 of the family's 1533-position model. The record is from RNAcentral.
CCUACGGGAGGCAGCAGUGGGGAAUUUUCCGCAAUGGGCGAAAGCCUGACGGAGCAACGCCGCGUGAGGGAUGAAGGCCUCUGGGCUGUAAACCUCUUUUAUCAAGGAAGAAGAUCUGACGGUACUUGAUGAAUAAGCCACGGCUAAUUCCGUGCCAGCAGCCGCGGUAAUACGGGAGUGGCAAGCGUUAUCCGGAAUUAUUGGGCGUAAAGCGUCCGCAGGCGGUCUUGUAAGUCUGUCGUUAAAGCGUGGAGCUCAACUCCAUUUCGGCGGUGGAAACUACAAGACUAGAGUGUGGUAGGGGCAGAGGGAAUUCCCGGUGUAGCGGUGAAAUGCGUAGAUAUCGGGAAGAACACCAGUGGCGAAGGCGCUCUGCUGGGCCAUAACUGACGCUCAUGGACGAAAGCUAGGGGAGCGAAAGGGAUUAGAUACCCCUGUAGUCCUAGCCGUAAACGAUGAACACUAGGUNUCGGGGAAUCGACCCCCUCGGUGUCGUAGCUAACGCGUUAAGUGUUCCGCCUGGGAGUACGCANGNAGUGUGAACGUAAAGGUAAGUUAGUACGGCGUGUAAGUACGUGUUCGACGACGACGACGAGGGAGGAGG